UUUGUUUAGCCUACAACCAUAGGACCUUGUGAUUCUAUUAAAUCUUGCAAGCUAAGAAGGGAUAGGCUGGGUUGGUACUUGGAAGGGAAUCUUUUAUGGAACACCUUUCUAUGUAGGA
RNAcentral lists this ribosomal RNA (118 nucleotides) under Chrysemys picta bellii (western painted turtle). Lineage: Eukaryota; Metazoa; Chordata; Testudines; Emydidae. The record is from RNAcentral.